GUAAAUUUGGGUGUAGUUACUAACUAUAUUCAUAUUAAGCGUAUGUUUGAGCUUAAAAUCAUAAAGAAAGAAGCAAGAACUGUAUGAGUCAGAGCUUUACUUACAUCACCAGGUUGGUGGUGGAGGGGGAGACACCAUAUACAUACACAUGACAACAAAGCAUGCAGCCGCUAACGGCAAGCUGGUUGGCUGGAUUGAGAUAAAUGAAGGGAUAGAAAGGACAGAUUUGAGAAGUGUGUUCUGCUCUCAGCUCUCUUCCUCGGUCUUUUUUUUUAAUUUAUUUUGCUUUCUCUCUGUCUUUGCUGCCUGCCUGCUCUGCUCAGAGGAGGGAUUUGCCCUAUCUUCCCUGGCUUAGUGCACCAUCGUGAAAGCAGUGGGUGGAUGGGAAGACGCAGAAAGAAGAAGAAGAGGAGGGAGAGGAUGAAAGGGAAACAGCUGCUGCCUUUAAACUGACUUUCUUCUUAUCGUGAUGUUAUAGAGGAUAUGUUCACUGACUCAGCCAUCAAAGAGCAGCUCGGAAACAAUUACACCCUCGGUUUUGUGUUUUCUGAGCAUGUGUGUGUGUGUGUGUGUGUGUGUGUGUGUGUGUGAUUUUCAGUCUGUAAUCCCAGCAGAACAUGUUUGAAGAUGGCCAUGGUGUUGGAAAAAAAAAGACAACACUUAAACCUUUAUGGAUAAGUGUGGAAUGACAAAAACAUAAAGUUUCUGAGAGGUGCUGGGAGAAAAAAUGAUGUCACCCAAGCGGCAAAUGCAAACGGCAUUCAUCUUGUGUGUGACUUGAUCUCAUCCAAGAGCCUUUUGGUAAUUCUCCAGAAGCUGCAGAGACAACCAAGCUCAGGGACCUGCACCGGAGCUGUGGAGAUAAGCAGACGUUUUUAUCCAUCAGAUAGCUAAUGCAGAAUGAUACACAUCUGUCUGCGAUUGCAGGUUUAGUUGGAAACGUGUGAACUGAGUGCACUCGCUUCCUCUCCGUUAAUGCCAUGCAUUUUGUUUCUGAUUCACCAAAAAAAGAAAAAA
Long non-coding RNA from Poecilia latipinna (sailfin molly), 1017 nucleotides. RefSeq lists it as uncharacterized. The record is from RefSeq and is a predicted model, not a curated record. The transcript has 3 exons. Lineage: Eukaryota; Metazoa; Chordata; Actinopteri; Cyprinodontiformes; Poeciliidae.